UUUCCGUAGGUGAACCUGCGGAAGGAUCAUUACUGAGAUGGGGUCCCUCGGGGCCCGACCUCCAACCCUUUGUGAACCAAACUUGUUGCUUCGGGGGCGACCCUGCCGCUUCGGCGGUGCGGCGCCCCCGGAGGCCAUUAAACACUGCAUCAUUGCGUCGGAGUUAAAGUAAAUUAAACAAAACUUUCAACAACGGAUCUCUUGGUUCCAGCAUCGAUGAAGAACGCAGC
Molecule: unclassified non-coding RNA, 230 nt
Filed under: uncultured fungus
Lineage: Eukaryota; Fungi
Description: sequence contains ITS1, 5.8S rRNA gene
Rfam family: 5.8S ribosomal RNA (bases 182-230)
Source: RNAcentral